This 81-nucleotide transfer RNA is filed under the name Paragonimus heterotremus. It matches the Rfam family "tRNA". From Rfam's summary of the family: Transfer RNA (tRNA) molecules are approximately 80 nucleotides in length. Their secondary structure includes four short double-helical elements and three loops (D, anti-codon, and T loops). Lineage: Eukaryota; Metazoa; Platyhelminthes; Trematoda; Plagiorchiida; Troglotrematidae. The record is from Rfam by way of RNAcentral.
GGCUUCGUAGCUCAGCUGGUAGAGCGCUUGCCGCGUAGAGGCAUGGUGUUUCUUUCGCUGGUUCGAAUCCAGCCGAAGCCC